CCUACGGGAGGCAGCAGUGGGGAAUAUUGCGCAAUGGGGGAAACCCUGACGCAGCAACGCCGCGUGAGUGAGGAAGUAUCUCGGUAUGUAAAGCUCUAUCAGCGGGGAAGAAAGAGGACGGUACCCGACUAAGAAGCCCCGGCUAACUACGUGCCAGAAGCCGCGGUAAUACGUAGGGGGCGAGCGUUAUCCGGCUUUACUGGGUGUAAAGGGUGCGCAGGCGGUCUGUUAAGUCAGCGGUCAAAGCCCGGGGCUCAACCCCGGCCCGCCGUUGAAACUGGCAGUCUCGAGUUGGAGAGAAGUAUGCGGAAUGCGCGGUGUAGCGGUGAAAUGCAUAGAUAUCGCGCAGAACUCCGAUUGCGAAGGCAGCAUGCCGGCUCCACACUGACGCUGAGGCACGAAAGCGUGGGUAUCGAACAGGAUUAGAUACCCUUGUAGUC
RNAcentral lists this ribosomal RNA (440 nucleotides) under uncultured bacterium. RNAcentral's name for it is "partial 16S ribosomal RNA". It matches the Rfam family "Bacterial small subunit ribosomal RNA", at positions 338 to 795 of the family's 1533-position model. The record is from RNAcentral.